CGCGUAGGCGGUGUAAUAAGUUUUUUGUUUAAUUUUCCAGCCCAACUGGAAGUAUGCAGGAAAUACUAUUAUGCUAGAGUUUGAUAGAGGAAAGUGGAAUUCUCGGAGUAGCGGUAAAAUGCGUAGAUCUCGAGAGGAACGCCAAUGGUGAAGACAGCUUUCUGGAUCAUAACUGACGCUAAUGCGCGAAGGCGUGGGGAGCAAACA
RNAcentral lists this ribosomal RNA (207 nucleotides) under uncultured bacterium. RNAcentral describes it as "partial 16S ribosomal RNA". It matches the Rfam family "Bacterial small subunit ribosomal RNA", at positions 568 to 774 of the family's 1533-position model. The record is from RNAcentral.